GGGGUUGUGGCUAGGUGGUAGAGCGCUUGCCUAGUAUGCAUGAAGCACUGGGUUCGAUUCUCAGCACCA
Molecule: transfer RNA, 69 nt
Filed under: Ictidomys tridecemlineatus (thirteen-lined ground squirrel)
Lineage: Eukaryota; Metazoa; Chordata; Mammalia; Rodentia; Sciuridae
Description: Spermophilus tridecemlineatus (thirteen-lined ground squirrel) tRNA
Rfam family: tRNA
About the family: Transfer RNA (tRNA) molecules are approximately 80 nucleotides in length. Their secondary structure includes four short double-helical elements and three loops (D, anti-codon, and T loops).
Source: Rfam by way of RNAcentral